Molecule: ribosomal RNA, 406 nt
Filed under: uncultured bacterium
Lineage: Bacteria
Description: partial 16S ribosomal RNA
Rfam family: Bacterial small subunit ribosomal RNA
Source: RNAcentral
AUUGAACGCUGGCGGCAGGCCUAACACAUGCAAGUCGAACGAGUGGCGGACGGGUGAGUAAUGUCUGGGAAACUGCCUGAUGGAGGGGGAUAACUACUGGAAACGGUAGCUAAUACCACAUACCAUCAGAUGUGCCCAGAGGGGCUUAGCUAGUUGGUGGGGUAACGGGUCACCAAGGCGACGACCCCGAGCUGGACUGAGAGGAUGACCAGCCACACUGGAACGAAGACACGGUCCAGACUCCUACGGGAGGCAGCAGGGGGGAAUAUUGCACAAUGGGCGCAAGCAUGAUGCAGCCAUGCCGCGUGUAUGAAGAAGGCCUUCGGGUGGUAAAGUACUUUCAGCGGGGGGGCGUUACCCGCAGAAGAAGCACCGGCUAACACCGUGCCAGCAGCCGCGGUAAUUC